UGUAAGCGUAUACCAAAGUUGUUGCAGUUAAAACGCUCGUAGUCGGAAUUUGGCAGUUCCGGAUGUGUGCACGUCGUGUGCGCACUUCGCGGGGAUUGCUUUUGUGGUCUUGCGUAGGAUGAGGCACUUUUAUUAGUGAACGUCCUCACGCGACCACUUUUUACUGUGAGAAAAUCAGAGUGCUCAAAGCAGGCAUUUGCCGUGAAUGUAUUAGCAUGGAAUAAUAGAAUAGGACUUGGUUCUAUUUUGUUGGUUUGUUGGGACUGAGUAAUGAUUAAGAGGGACAGUUGGGGGCAUUUGUAUUUCGGUGCUAGAGGUGAAAUUCUUAGAUUACCGAAAGACAAACUGCUGCGAAAGCGUCUGCCAAGGAUGUUUUCAUUGA
This 382-nucleotide ribosomal RNA is filed under the name uncultured eukaryote. Its description in RNAcentral is "partial 18S ribosomal RNA". It matches the Rfam family "Eukaryotic small subunit ribosomal RNA", at positions 592 to 976 of the family's 1831-position model. The record is from RNAcentral.